UCUAUCUAUCUAUCUAUCUAUCUUUCUAAUUGUUUUAGGAGAUGGAGAGUAGUGGAUCAGAGUCUCAGAGUAAUCAGUCUGAGUCAUCAGUGUGCUUUGAUACCGACCCACUGAUGUGCAUCCUGUCAAAACAUAUGCCCCUCUGUGCCCAGCCUUUGAUAUGAUAUUAUCAAAUUGAACAAGCAAGAGCAGAACAGAAAGCAACUAAAAGGCAGAUAUUAUGGCUUGUUCCGGCAGUUCAGGAACAGUUGGGGCAGAUGAGGAGCCCAGCGAACUUCAGGAGAUGGAGAGUAGUGGAUCAGAGUCUCAGAGUAAUCAGUCUGAGUCAUCAGUGUGCUUUGAUACCGACCCACUGAUGUGCAUCCUGUCAAAACAUAUGCCCCUCUGUGCCCAGCCUUUGAUAUGAUAUUAUCAAAUUGAACAAGCAAGAGCAGAACAGAAAGCAACUAAAAGGCAGAUAUUAUGGCUCGUUCCGGCAGUUCAGGAACAGUUGGGGCAGAUGAGGAGCCCAGCGAACUUCAGGAGAUGGAGAGUAGUGGAUCAGAGUCUCAGAGUAAUCAGUCUGAGUCAUCAGUGUACUUUGAUACCGACCCACUGGUGAGUAUAUACCAUAAAU
Long non-coding RNA from Xenopus laevis (African clawed frog), 616 nucleotides. RefSeq lists it as uncharacterized. The transcript has 7 exons. NCBI's taxonomy places the organism in Eukaryota, Metazoa, Chordata, Amphibia, Anura, Pipidae. The record is from RefSeq and is a predicted model, not a curated record.